CGAAAGGAACGCUAAUACCGCAUACGUCCUACGGGAGAAAGCAGGGGACCUUCGGGCCUUGCGCUAUCAGAUGAGCCUAGGUCGGAUUAGCUAGUUGGUGGGGUGAAGGCUCACCAAGGCGACGAUCCGUAACUGGUCUGAGAGGAUGAUCAGUCACACUGGAACUGAGACACGGUCCAGACUCCUACGGGAGGCAGCAGUGGGGAAUAUUGGACAAUGGGCGAAAGCCUGAUCCAGCCAUGCCGCGUGUGUGAAGAAGGUCUUCGGAUUGUAAAGCACUUUAAGUUGGGAGGAAGGGCAUUAACCUAAUACGUUAGNGUUUUGACGUUACCGACAGAAUAAGCACCGGCU
This 351-nucleotide ribosomal RNA is filed under the name uncultured gamma proteobacterium Clo 74. Its description in RNAcentral is "bacterial SSU rRNA". It matches the Rfam family "Bacterial small subunit ribosomal RNA", at positions 152 to 498 of the family's 1533-position model. The record is from RNAcentral. Lineage: Bacteria; Pseudomonadati; Pseudomonadota; Gammaproteobacteria; Pseudomonadales; Pseudomonadaceae.